RNAcentral lists this ribosomal RNA (327 nucleotides) under Triticum aestivum (bread wheat). RNAcentral's name for it is "partial small subunit ribosomal RNA". Lineage: Eukaryota; Viridiplantae; Streptophyta; Magnoliopsida; Poales; Poaceae. The record is from RNAcentral.
AUGUACUCGCCGGCCUUCUGCGCUGCCUGCACCACCGGGGGGAUUGGUAGCUGCGGGCUCACCCACAUGGCCGUCACCCCGCUCGACCUCGUCAAGUGCAACAUGCAGGUGAGGGCCUCGAUCUGUGCUCCCACAUGCGUCUCGAGUUCAGUUCUCCAAGGAGUCGGCCUAGAUCUGGCCGUUAGGUUCGAUGCAGAUGCGGAUUUCGAUCUCCGCCAUCUACGCAGGCAUUUUGCGAUCGGGAUGCAUGAAUCUGGCCAGUUUCUGCUUCUCCGUGCUGUUAGUUUUAGUUCCCCGUAUGCUUUUUGUUGGCGCAGAUGUGCUUGA